This 497-nucleotide ribosomal RNA is filed under the name uncultured bacterium. Its description in RNAcentral is "partial 16S ribosomal RNA". It matches the Rfam family "Bacterial small subunit ribosomal RNA", at positions 28 to 507 of the family's 1533-position model. The record is from RNAcentral.
GACGAACGCUGGCGGCGUGCCUAAUGCAUGCAAGUUGAGCGCUGAAGGUUGGUACUUGUACCAACUGGAUGAGCAGCGAACGGGUGAGUAACGCGUGGGGAAUCUGCCUUUGAGCGGGGGACAACAUUUGGAAACGAAUGCUAAUACCGCAUAAAAACUUUAAACACAAGUUUUAAGUUUGAAAGAUGCAAUUGCAUCACUCAAAGAUGAUCCCGCGUUGUAUUAGCUAGUUGGUGGGGUAAAGGCUCACCAAGGCGAUGAUACAUAGCCGACCUGAGAGGGUGAUCGGCCACAUUGGGACUGAGACACGGCCCAAACUCCUACGGGAGGCAGCAGUAGGGAAUCUUCGGCAAUGGACGAAAGUCUGACCGAGCAACGCCGCGUGAGUGAAGAAGGUUUUCGGAUCGUAAAACUCUGUUGGUAGAGAAGAACGUUGGUGAGAGUGGAAAGCUCAUCAAGUGACGGUAACUACCCAGAAAGGGACGGCUAACUACGUG